UUUUUUUUUUUACAGCUGAGUAGUAUUCCACUGUAUAUAUGUACCACAACCUCUUAAGCCAUUCAUAUGUUGAUGGAUGUUUAGGUUGUUUCCAUGUCUUGGAUAUUCUGAAUAGAGCUUUAGUGAAUGUAGGGGUGCAUGUAUCUUUUUGAAUUACAGUUGUCCCCAUAUAUUCCUGGGAGUAGGAUUUCUAGAUCAUAUAGUAAUUCUAUUUUUAGUUUUCUGAGGAACCUGUAUAUUCUUUUCCAUAGUGAUUGCACCAAUUUACAUUCCCACCAACAGUGGGGUGGAUAAGGGAUGGCUGGUAGGGAUAACAAUAGAAACCCAAGUUUAUUUGAAAACACAGCAACCAGCAGUUGCAAAUUCAUGGCCAAGAUAUGCCCCUCUAUUUAUGUCAGAGUGCCGGGGCCUCAUAUGUGUUGAGCAUAUUUGCAUCCAGGCAAUCAGGGGAGUAAGAAAAUAUGUGCCAACCAUCCGACCUGGGAACAUCCAGUCUUCAAAGUCUUGUUCCCAGGGGUGGGGCAGAGGCUGGCCCUUUGUUUUCCAGUCCCAUUCUUGUUCAGAGCACACUGGAAAACUACAUUUCCCAACCUUCCUUGCAGAUAGGUUUGGGUUAUAGGGUCUGGGUUCUGGAAAUUGGACAAGGGCACAUGAUGUGAUAAAGAUAACUGACCAUAAAAUAGCAGCACAAUGUCCAAACAUUGCCACUUCCCUUGCUUUGGAACAAAUGCAGGGGAUCCACUCUGAGAAGCCAACCAGGUGUUAGGAGCCUGUAUGCCCAAAUCACCUCAUGAAGGCUGACCACUGAAAACCUAAUUAGAAGAUGACCUAAGCAAGAAAUGUCUUUGUUUUGUGAAGGCAGUGACAUCUGGGGGCUGUUAGUUUCAUCAGUUGGAUUAUUUUACCAUAAAUAAUAGAAGGGAUCACAGCCCCUUUUUUCAUAGCUACUGCUGGCAAAGAACUCUGCUGGGCUGAGUUUAGAUAAUUAUCUGGUACAAGUGCCCCUGGUAUAUAAGAAAGGCUUGUCAUUUGUUCUUACUGCCCUUAAAAUGGUUAGGUAAGCCAGGAUUUGCCCAUGUGUUGGGUGAUCAUACCGAGCUGGCAUUAUAAUUUGGGGACAUAUAUAGGCUUCAACUGAUUUAAAAAAUUUCAUCCCACUUAGACUUUCUGGUUGUUUGGGAUUUUGAACAUUGAAUUACCUCUGAAAAUGAUGUAAGAGCUGGCUACUUUUAGCAGAAGGUGUGAUAUGAUUGAAGAGAUGACACAACAAUUCUAUAAAUGUCUGUACAGGAUGAUUUAUAUGCUUUAGGGUCAAUGGGAAUAAUAGCCUAUUGGAUGAAGAAGGAUACAGGCUCCAAAGCUAUUUUAUACAUGUGGAAUAUAUAUAGAGAAAUGUCCAGAGGGAAAAGGGCUGGAGUCCAAAGUGGAUGAGCAGACAAAAAUGAUGGUCAAGAAGGGAAUUUUCCAGUGAAUUUUUUUGAGGGGUGGCAGGGAAAGUCAAUGAGAAAAGAAGAUAAAAUGCAGAUUGUAGUCAUAGUGAUGGGACCUAGAAAGUGACAUUUUUGUGCCUAUGAUCUAGGUUUGGUGACCUUAGGUUGGUUUACUCUUCCUUAUAGAGGGGGAAGAAUGAAUUUGUUCUUGGUCCAGGACACAUAUGACAUUGAGAAAACUAAAAUGGCUGGGUGACCUCUCAAGAAGAGUUAGUGCCACAUCAGCUGAAGCAUUUGAAGUCCUUAGUCUUGUCACAUGGAGCCUUGUAGCCUUGCUUUUUGAAUGUAUGUCCAAGAAGCAGCUUGGUCACUGGUUGGCUUAUGAGUCAGAAAUUGAAACUUAAAUGUUGAUUCCAUUACUUGUUAUAGGUAUUUCCCUGAGUAAACUCUAUCACCCUUCAGAGCUGUGAUGACUACAUCCAUAAAAUGAGAUUCCAUAGAAAUUUUGUGAGAUGCAAAUGAUAAAAGAGGUGAAAACAGCUACAGCAGUGCCUGUCAUACGACCAGCAUACAGUCAUAUUUGUGCCCUUAAUUCUUCCUCUAUUUGAUAGUAAGCUCCUUGAGGGAAGAAUCAAGGCACAUUCAUGUUGCAUUGCCUCAAAGGCCUGGAACACCAUCUGGAACACUGCAGAUACUCCAUAUAGGCUUAUUCAAUGUGCAAAUGAAAGGGCAAAGGUGAGACUUUGGGGCUAACUCUUGGACCCUAAUAAAUGAAAAUAGGGACCUUUUUCACUUCAUGAAACUUCCCUUAAGUUGGUGUCUUAGGAAGACCUUAGUUUUAGCAGAAUUUAACAGACCUAAAUGACCUGGGCUGGAAAGAUCAUGUAGAAAAGUCUUAAUAGACAGUGCAAGGCUGGUGUAAUGGCUCCAUUAUGUGUCCCACUGGCCUUUGACUUUGCUGCCCAAGAUGAAGGAAAGGGAGUAAGAGGUGGUAUAUCACCCCUGCCUUUAAUGACAUAGCCAGAAAGCCACAUAUUUCUCUUCUCUCACUUCCCAUUAUGAGAGGUUCUAGCUGCAAUGGUGACUGGGAAAGGAAUUUUUAUUCCAGGUGCCCAAGUGGCUUCCAUUACUUGGCAAGGGAGACUAGAUAAUUAGAAAACAACUUGAAGUUCCUUCCACAAUCUACCUCCUCCUCCCUCCCCUCCUGUUUUUUUAAAAUAUCCACACUCACAGUAUAUGGAAAUUCCGUGGCCAAGGAUUGAAUCCAAGCCACAGUUGAGGCAAUGCUGGGUCUUUUAACACACUGCAAGGGGCCAGGGAUUGACCCACGCAUGCCUUUACAGUGACCUGAGCUGCUGCAGUUGGAUCCUUAGCCCAAUGUGGCACAGUGGGAACUCCCACAGUUUUUCUUUUUUAACACUAUUGGGAAAGUGGAAUGAUUGCUGGUCUUCUAUGCUGGACAAUGAGGACGGCAGCUACUUCCCAGUGAUGGAGCAGAGAAAGUUUAGAAGCAUCCUGAUUCCCAGAUAAAUGAAGAGCCUCCAUAUAGUCUUAAUGUGUCUUUUAUGUGUGAGAAGUAUGUUUUCUUGCAACGUCUAUUAUUUUGUAUCCUUGUUAUUCACAACUGAACCUAUAUUCUAAAUAAUGCAUAGGCUGGUCUGCAGGUGGAUCUUGGUGUCUCUGUGUGACAUUAAGGAACUUCAGCCUUUCCUCCCAAAGGGGAGCAAGUGGUCCCUCUCUCUUCUGAGUCAGCAGCUACACUGACUUCAUUCUAUUAGGCUAAAAUUUAAAUCAGGGGUGAGUUAACCCCACUAUUCUCUGGUUUACCCUCGGUUUACCCUCUUCUCACUUAUAGGAUCAGGCCUUAUGUACUUAUGUUUUAUACUAGCAGUGAAAAUUGUAUGAGGCUCUUAAAAAAAAACCCAAUCAGAAUAAGAUGAAAAACACAGUCCUGCCCACUGUAGGAAAUCUCAGCGUGUGAAAAUUCAUAUAUAUCUAAAGUGAUAACACCUCUACAAUAAGAUUGAUCUCUUUAGGAAUUCCUGUUGUGGCUCAGUGGGUUAAGAACCCAACUAAUAUCCAUGAGGAUGUGGGUUUGAUACCUGGCCUUGCUCAGUGGGUCAGGGAUCCAACGUUGCCAUGAGCUGUAGUGUAGGUUGUAGACGUGGCUCAGAUCUGGGUGUUGCUGAAGCUAUAGCUCUGACUUGACCCCUAGCCUGGGAAUUUGCAUAUGUUGCGGGUACGGACCUUAAAAAAAAAAAAGAUCUCUUUAAAAAAUAAUUUACUAAACACCUAAUCAUUCAUUGAAUAACUAAAUACUUUAAAUAGUGAUAUUUCCUUACCCAUUUAUAAUAUUGUGCCCAAAUUUCUUCAAAUUUUCACCUAAUAUAUCUGUUACAUAAAGUGGGACCCAUGGGCUCAAAGACUCAUCAUAGGUCUGAAUAGAUGAAAUGUUAUCAAUAUAACAUUGUUUUUCCCUGCUUUGACAUUAACUGCUUUGACAUUAACAGACUGUAUGAAUAACCUGAAAGAACAGUAAACAAAACAAAACAAAACAAAACACUUUCUGAAGAAAUGGUAAAGGAAUGAAAAUGGUAUUCCAGUCUGCACAAGAUCAAGACUUUCUCGUUUUUUUCCCCCCUACAUUUUACCAUAGUUUUGACAUGUCUUUUUCCCCUCACAUUUUAGAGUUCAUACCUUGUGUACUUUAUAGGUUAUACCUUGUAUAUUUUUAAUGUCAUCAAAAAAAAUCUCAAGUCUAGACAUUUUCCCUUUUUACACUGUAGCUAUGAUACCACAGAAGGUUGGAACUAAAAUAAAAUAAUUAUGAUCCCUUAAGGCAAGACCUCCAGCUUGUGAAGUAGGCCAGAUUUCAUACCUAACAGCUUUAACCUCUAAUAACACAGAGAAAUAGAAAAAGCAUCUACAAGAAGAAACCAGCCUCUCAUCUGGGCUUUUUGUUAUGAGUUCUUUUAAAACAAAACAAUACAAACAAACAAAAAACAAAAAACUGCUUUAAUGACUUAUUCCCUUUUCUUUAGGAAGAAAAUUUUCUGAAUUUGAAUGUGGCACAUUUCAUAACUUUUUGAGUCUAUUCCAUGAAUCUAUGUAGCAUUCUACUUUUUGUGAGCAGUCAAAUAACUCAUCAGCUUUGCAGCCUUAGUCUCCUCUGCAGCUCAGGCUGCCACUUCAUGGGGAGAAAGGCCUUGGCACAUGUCCAGGACCCCAUGCUAGGCAAAAAACCCCAACAUUUGCAAAGAGUAUUGAGUACCAUCUCUACUGGAUCAUGCCAGGGCAGGUGAACCAUUGAGAACCACUAUCCAGCCUCAAGUUCAGGUGUAUUAUCUUUUCUUCCAUUUCCAGAUAGGCAGGGAUUAGAAAAUUUUUUUUAUCAGCACUCUAAAUCCAAGUUUAUAGGACUUCCCUGAUGCCUUAGUAGGUUAAGGAUCUGGUGUUGUCACUGCUAUAGCUCAGGUCACUGCUGCUAUAGCACAUGUUUGAUCCCUGGCCCCAGACACAG
Molecule: long non-coding RNA, 4950 nt
Filed under: Sus scrofa (pig)
Lineage: Eukaryota; Metazoa; Chordata; Mammalia; Artiodactyla; Suidae
Description: lncRNA (ENSSSCG00000052615.1)
Source: RNAcentral